CAGUAGCCGCGGGAAAACGAGGGGGGCUAGCGUUGCUCGGAAUUACUGGGCGUAAAGGGAGCGUAGGCGGACAUUUAAGUCAGGGGUGAAAUCCCAGAGCUCAACUCUGGAACUGCCUUUGAUACUGGGUGUCUUGAGUGUGAUAGAGGUAUGUGGAACUCCGAGUGUAGAGGUGAAAUUCGUAGAUAUUCGGAAGAACACCAGUGGCUAAGGCGACAUACUGGAUCAUUACUGACGCUGAGGCUCGAAUGCGUGGGGAGCAAACAGGAUUAGAUACCCCAGUAGUCCCUGUCUCUUAUAC
Molecule: ribosomal RNA, 301 nt
Filed under: uncultured bacterium
Lineage: Bacteria
Description: partial 16S ribosomal RNA
Rfam family: Bacterial small subunit ribosomal RNA
Source: RNAcentral